CCUACGGGGGGCAGCAGUGAGGAAUAUUGGUCAAUGGACGAGAGUCUGAACCAGCCAAGUAGCGUGAAGGAUGACUGCCCUAUGGGUUGUAAACUUCUUUUAUAUGGGAAUAAAACGUUCCACGUGUGGGAUUUUGUAUGUACCAUAUGAAUAAGGAUCGGCUAACUCCGUGCCAGCAGCCGCGGUAAUACGGAGGAUCCGAGCGUUAUCCGGAUUUAUUGGGUUUAAAGGGAGCGUAGGUGGAUUGUUAAGUCAGUUGUGAAAGUUUGCGGCUCAACCGUAAAAUUGCAGUUGAAACUGGCAGUCUUGAGGACAGUAGAGGUGGGCGGAAUUCGUGGUGUAGCGGUGAAAUGCUUAGAUAUCACGAAGAACUCCGAUUGCGAAGGCAGUUCACUGGACUGCAACUGACACUGAGGCUCGAAAGUGUGGGUAUCAAACAGGAUUAGAUACCCGAGUAGUC
This 460-nucleotide ribosomal RNA is filed under the name uncultured bacterium. RNAcentral's name for it is "partial 16S ribosomal RNA". It matches the Rfam family "Bacterial small subunit ribosomal RNA", at positions 338 to 795 of the family's 1533-position model. The record is from RNAcentral.